AAGACUAUGCUUUCAGGAAUCAUUUUAUAGUUUGUUACUGGAGAAGUUUUUCUAAACGUGUGGAGCCCCGGAAACCGCGAAGAAGGGACGGAAACCACGAGGAAGAGACGUAGUGUUGUUCCUUGAGCGUGAAGCCAGUGUUUGGUGUUGCUUCACUGCAACCGCCUUUUGCUAUUGAUGAUCGUUCUUCUCUCCGUUUUGGGGAGUAAAAGGGAAAGAACAAGGUCUGAGUGGU
This 235-nucleotide small nucleolar RNA is filed under the name Mandrillus leucophaeus (drill). RNAcentral describes it as "Small nucleolar RNA U3 (ENSMLEG00000020634.1)". It matches the Rfam family "Small nucleolar RNA U3". From Rfam's summary of the family: Small nucleolar RNAs (snoRNAs) are involved in the processing and modification of rRNA in the nucleolus. There are two main classes of snoRNAs: the box C/D class, and the box H/ACA class. Lineage: Eukaryota; Metazoa; Chordata; Mammalia; Primates; Cercopithecidae. The record is from Rfam by way of RNAcentral.